RNAcentral lists this ribosomal RNA (497 nucleotides) under uncultured bacterium. Its description in RNAcentral is "partial 16S ribosomal RNA". It matches the Rfam family "Bacterial small subunit ribosomal RNA", at positions 28 to 507 of the family's 1533-position model. The record is from RNAcentral.
GAUGAACGCUGGCGGCGUGCCUAAUACAUGCAAGUCGAGCGAACAGACGAGGAGCUUGCUCCUCUGACGUUAGCGGCGGACGGGUGAGUAACACGUGGAUAACCUACCUAUAAGACUGGGAUAACUUCGGGAAACCGGAGCUAAUACCGGAUAAUAUAUUGAACCGCAUGGUUCAAUAGUGAAAGACGGUUUUGCUGUCACUUAUAGCUGGAUCCGCGCCGCAUUAGCUAGUUGGUAAGGUAACGGCUUACCAAGGCGACGAUGCGUAGCCGACCUGAGAGGGUGAUCAGCCACACUGGAACUGAGACACGGUCCAGACUCCUACGGGAGGCAGCAGUAGGGAAUCUUCCGCAAUGGGCGAAAGCCUGACGGAGCAACGCCGCGUGAGUGAUGAAGGUCUUCGGAUCGUAAAACUCUGUUAUUAGGGAAGAACAAAUGUGUAAGUAACUAUGCACGUCUUGACGGUACCUAAUCAGAAAGCCACGGCUAACUUCGUG